RNAcentral lists this ribosomal RNA (253 nucleotides) under uncultured bacterium. Its description in RNAcentral is "partial 16S ribosomal RNA". It matches the Rfam family "Bacterial small subunit ribosomal RNA", at positions 524 to 776 of the family's 1533-position model. The record is from RNAcentral.
UACGUAGGGUGCAAGCGUUGUUCGGAGUUACUGGGCGUAAAGGGUGUGUAGGCGGUUGUUUAAGUUUGGUGUGAAAUCCCCGGGCUCAACCUGGGAAUGGCAUUUGGGACUGCAAGGCUGGAGUGUGGCAGAGGAGACUGGAAUUCCUGGUGUAGCAGUGAAAUGCGUAGAUAUCAGGAGGAAUACCGAUGGCGAAGGCAGGUCUCUGGGCUGACACUGACGCUCAUGCACGAAAGCGUGGGGAGCAAACAGG